RNAcentral lists this ribosomal RNA (440 nucleotides) under uncultured bacterium. RNAcentral's name for it is "partial 16S ribosomal RNA". It matches the Rfam family "Bacterial small subunit ribosomal RNA", at positions 338 to 795 of the family's 1533-position model. The record is from RNAcentral.
CCUACGGGGUGCAGCAGUGGGGAAUAUUGCACAAUGGGGGAAACCCUGAUGCAGCGACGCCGCGUGAGUGAAGAAGUAAUUCGUUAUGUAAAGCUCUAUCAGCAGGGACGAAAAUGACGGUACCUGAGUCAGAAGCCCCGGCUAACUACGUGCCAGCAGCCGCGGUAAUACGUAGGGGGCAAGCGUUCUCCGGAUUUACUGGGUGUAAAGGGAGCGUAGACGGCAGUGCAAGUCUGGAGUGAAAGGCGGGGGCUCAACCCCCGGACUGCUCUGGAAACUGUACGGCUGGAGUGCAGGAGAGGUAAGUGGAAUUCCGAGUGUAGCGGUGAAAUGCGUAGAUAUUAGGAGGAACACCAGUGGCGAAGGCGGCUUACUGGACUGUAACUGACGUUGAGGCUCGAAAGCGUGGGGAGCAAACAGGAUUAGAUACCCUUGUAGUC